AACGGCCGUACCAUGCUGAAUAUACCGGUUCUCGUUAGAUCACCGAAGUUAAGCAUCAUUGGGCGCGGUCAGUACUUGGGUGGGUGGGUGACCACCUGGGAACACCGCGUGCCGUU
This 116-nucleotide ribosomal RNA is filed under the name Caerostris darwini. The record is from RNAcentral. Lineage: Eukaryota; Metazoa; Arthropoda; Arachnida; Araneae; Araneidae.